This 131-nucleotide long non-coding RNA is filed under the name Mustela putorius furo (domestic ferret). RNAcentral describes it as "lncRNA (ENSMPUG00000028550.1)". Lineage: Eukaryota; Metazoa; Chordata; Mammalia; Carnivora; Mustelidae. The record is from RNAcentral.
GAAUGGUUAACAUUCUUAUUUCUACUCACCUAUUCAACGCUGUCUCGGCCUUGUUCUUUAAUAUUCAGAGCCUUUGCUCACUGCCUGACUUCAAAGCUACCUCCACAUUUUCAGGCAUAAUCCUGCAGUAG